UACGGAGGGGGCUAGCGUUGUUCGGAAUUACUGGGCGUAAAGCGCACGUAGGCGGCUUUGUAAGUUAGAGGUGAAAGCCCGGGGCUCAACCCCGGAACUGCCCUCGAAACUAGGUAGCUAGAAUCUUGGAGAGGCGAGUGGAAUUCCGAGUGUAGAGGUGAAAUUCGUAGAUAUUCGCAAGAACACCAGUGGCGAAGGCGGCUUUCUGGCUCGAUACUGACGCUAAGGCGCGAAAGCGUGGGGAGCAAACAGG
Molecule: ribosomal RNA, 253 nt
Filed under: uncultured bacterium
Lineage: Bacteria
Description: partial 16S ribosomal RNA
Rfam family: Bacterial small subunit ribosomal RNA
Source: RNAcentral